This 489-nucleotide ribosomal RNA is filed under the name uncultured bacterium. RNAcentral describes it as "partial 16S ribosomal RNA". It matches the Rfam family "Bacterial small subunit ribosomal RNA", at positions 28 to 507 of the family's 1533-position model. The record is from RNAcentral.
GACGAACGCUGGCGGCGUGCUUAACACAUGCAAGUCGAACGGAAAGGCCCUGCUUUUGUGGGGUGCUCGAGUGGCGAACGGGUGAGUAACACGUGAGUAACCUGCCCUUGACUUUGGGAUAACUUCAGGAAACUGGGGCUAAUACCGGAUAGGAGCUCCUGCUGCAUGGUGGGGGUUGGAAAGUUUCGGCGGUUGGGGAUGGACUCGCGGCUUAUCAGCUUGUUGGUGGGGUAGUGGCUUACCAAGGCGUUGACGGGUAGCCGGCCUGGGAGGGUGACCGGCGACACUGGGACGGAGACACGGCCCAGACGGCUACGGGAGGCAGCAGGAGGGAAUCGUCGGACAGGGACGGAAGGCUGGCCGAGCAACGCCGCGUGAGUGAAGAAGGGUUUCGGAUCGUAAAGCUCUGUUGUAAGAGAAGAACGAGGGUGAGAGUGGCAAGUUCACACUGUGACGGUAUCUUACCAGAAAGGGACGGCUAACUACGUG